Molecule: ribosomal RNA, 345 nt
Filed under: uncultured bacterium
Lineage: Bacteria
Description: partial 16S ribosomal RNA
Rfam family: Bacterial small subunit ribosomal RNA
Source: RNAcentral
CCUACGGGGUGCAGCAGUGAGGAAUAUUGGGCAAUGGAGGAAACUCUGACCCAGCCAUGCCGCGUGAGUGAAGAAGGUUUUCGAAUUGUAAAGCUCUUGCGGAGGGGAAGAGGAUGACGGUAACAGCGAAAGAAGCCCCGGCAAACUUCGUGCCAGCAGCCGCGGUAAUACGAAGGGGGCAAGCGUUGUUCGGAAUUACUGGGCGUAAAGGGGGUGUAGGCGGGAAAGUAAGAUAGUGGUGAAAUGCCUGCGCUCCACUUGGGAACUGCCAUUAUAACUAUUGUUCUAGAGUGACAGAGAGGCUAUUGGACUCCCCAGUGUAGCGGUGACCUUCGUCGUUAUUGG